Molecule: ribosomal RNA, 440 nt
Filed under: uncultured bacterium
Lineage: Bacteria
Description: partial 16S ribosomal RNA
Rfam family: Bacterial small subunit ribosomal RNA
Source: RNAcentral
CCUACGGGAGGCAGCAGUGGGGAAUAUUGCACAAUGGGGGAAACCCUGAUGCAGCAACGCCGCGUGAGUGAAGAAGGAUUUCGGUAUGUAAAGCUCUUUCAGCAGGGAAGAAAAUGACGGUAUCUGAUUAAUAAGCCCCGGCUAACUCCGUGCCAGCAGCCGCGGUAAUACGUAGGGUGCAAGCGUUACUCGGAUUUACUGGGCGUAAAGGGAGCGCAGGCGGCAGUGCAAGUCAGGAGUGAAAGCCUGUGGCUCAACCCCGGAACUGCAUUGGAAACUGUUCGGCUAGAGUACUGGAGGGGCAGGCGGAAUUCCUGGUGUAGCGGUGAAAUGCGUAGAGAUUAGGAGGAAUACUAAUGGCGAAGGCGGCCUGCUGGACAGUAACUGACGUUGAUGCUCGAAAGCGUGGGGAGCAAACAGGAUUAGAUACCCUUGUAGUC